This 5952-nucleotide unclassified non-coding RNA is filed under the name Manduca sexta (tobacco hornworm). RNAcentral's name for it is "kinase suppressor of Ras 2, transcript variant X3". The record is from RNAcentral. Lineage: Eukaryota; Metazoa; Arthropoda; Insecta; Lepidoptera; Sphingidae.
UAGACAAAAAUAUAGAUUUUCUUUGGAUAUGGCCGCUGUAUCGGCAAUAUAACAUCUGUAUUGUUUUGUAUAUUCAUUUUUAUAAAAUGAAUAAACUGUUUUUUAUUUAUAUAUAGUGUUUAGCAGACCGUGUACAGUGCUGUGAUAUUUGUAAUGGAAGCAGAUAGCGAGUACGAAAUAAAGAGAGUUCGUGAUGCAAUUCAAACGAUAGAGACGAUCCAGUCAAUGAUCGACGUUUCAGCUGACAGGCUCGAGGGUUUACGAACACAAUGUUCCACAAGCGCCGAACUGACGCAGCAGGAGAUCCGGACCCUGGAGGGCAAACUGGUGAAGCACUUCUCCCGUCAGCUGGUGAUCAAGGCCGGCUUCGGCGAGGAGUUGCGCCGCGAGCUCUUCCACGUGCCCCGCCUUGCGCAGUGGCUCAGGGUCGUGGGACUGAGCCCUGACUCCAUAGAGGCGGUAUGCUCGCGCGUGUCGUCGCUGGAGUCCCUGCGCGAGCGCUCGGACCACGAGAUGCGCGCGCUGCUGGCGGGCGCGCGCGACGAGGAGGUGCUGCGGCUGUGCCGCGCCAUGCACCGGCUCAGGACUUAUAUCGAGGCGCUGGGUCGCGGCGAGGGCGGCGAGGGCGGCGCGGAGCUGCAGCUGUUCUGGGACUCGUGGGAGCGGCACGCGCGCGCCUCGCCGCGCCAGCCGCGCGCGCGCGCCGCCCGCCCCGCGCCGCCCGACUGCGACGCGCACCACUGCACGCCGCAGGGGAAGAAAGGCGGCAAGUCCCCCACCACUCCAGUGGGCAAGCGCAAGCAGAAUGCUCGGCUGGGCGCAUUGGCACCACUCGGUCCUCUGGGCGGAGGGCCGCUGGCGGCGCCACUCGCCGCGCCGCUCACCAAGUCCCGCUCGCACGAGUCGCAGCUCUCCGCACGACCUGAUGCUUCCGAUCUCAGCGACAACAGCCAGUCGUCUGCGCUGGGCGGCGGCUCGGCGGCCGACGACGCGCUGGAGGGCGACGCCUCGCCGCCCGCCUCCCCGCACGCCUCCCCGCACGCCUCUCCGCACGCCUCGCCGCACGACGCCGACUCCGACCACACGCCGCUGCACCGGCCGCUACCCUACUACAACAACAACUCGUGCACAUAUCCCGCGCAUGCGCAGGGCGUGUCGGCGCCGCGCUCGCCGCGCACGCCGACGGUGAGCCGCUGCAUGGCGCACGACAUCGCGCACCGCUUCACCAAGACCUUCAACAUGAUCGCCACCUGCGACUACUGCGACAAACAGAUGCUCUUCGGCUCCGGCUUGAAGUGCAAGGAGUGCAAGUUUAAAUGUCACAGAGACUGCGAAAGUAAAGUUCCUCCAUCGUGUGGCUUGCCGCCAGAAUUCGUCGUUGCUUUCAAAGAAAAGUUUCAUAAAGAUGCAGGCGGGUACAUGUGCGCGUCGCCGGUGGGGUCGCGCGGGUUCCUGGCGUCGCUGACGAGCCGGCCGCGCCGCCGCCACGCGCCGCCCGUCAUGCACCACAACGUCAGGGACGUGCGUACACACAUACUCAUUAUUGGCGGAGGUGGACCAGACUCCUCGUCAAACACAUCGUCGUGCAACAGCUCGACACCAUCGUCACCGGCGCUGGCGCCGCCCGCGACCCCCCACGGCACCCCGCACGCAACCCCGCACGCGACCCCCCACCAGCAUCACCAUCAACCGCCGUCACACCACCACGCGCCGCAUCAUAACAAGCACCAGUUCCACUUCCCAGGUAUACGAGAAGUAAAGCCGGCGGUGUCGAGUCCGAACCACUCUGCGCACGCGGCGCUGCAGUCCCCCGCACGCGCCGCGCCCGACAACCACGACAUCAUCUCCACCGCCAGCCUCAGGAGCGAUCGUUCACGAUGUAUUUCCGGCUCCGGUUCGGGUUCGACGGACAGUCGUGCGGACUCGCUCGACCACACCAACAACUCGCGCUGGCCGCGGCAAAACAGCUUGUCGAUGAAAGAGUGGGACAUACCGUACGACGAGCUGAAGCUGUUCGAGGUGAUCGGCACGGGCCGCUUCGGCACCGUGUACCGCGGCAGCUGGCACGGCGCCGUCGCCGUCAAGCUGCUGCACGUGCACUCGCUCAGCGACGACUGCGUGCCGCUCGACACCUUCAAACACGAGGUGGCGACGUUCCGCAAGACCCGGCACGAGAACCUGGUGCUGUUCAUGGGCGCGUGCAUGAAGCCGCCGCGCCUCGCCAUCGUCACGUCGCUGUGCAAGGGCAUGACGUUGUACACGCACAUCCACCUGCGCAAGGACAAGUUCACCGCCAACAAGAGCGUGCUCGUCGCCCAGCAGAUAUCACAGGGCAUGGGCUAUUUGCACGCACGCGGCAUCAUCCACAAAGACUUGAAAUCUAAAAAUAUCUUCCUCGAGAACGGCAAGGUGGUGAUCACCGACUUCGGGCUGUUCAGCGUCACCAAACUAUGCUUCGGGAACAAUGCCCGCGGCGACAGCCUGGGCAUCCCGCCGGGCUGGCUGUGCUACCUGGCGCCCGAGGUCACGCGCGCGCUCACGCCGCACGCCUCGCUGCACCUGCCCUUCUCCAAGGCCACCGACGUCUACGCCUUCGGGACUGUAUGGUACGAGCUGUUGUGCGGCGAGUUUCCUUUCAAAGGCCAGCCACCGGAGGCGAUCAUCUGGCAGGUUGGCAAGGGUGUCAAGCAGUCGCUGGCCAACAUGCAAGCGUCCAGAGACAUUAAGGACAUCCUGAUGCAGUGCUGGUCGUACCGAUCGUGCGACCGGCCCGACUUCCCGACGCUGCUGACGACGCUCCAGAAGCUCCCGAAGAAGCGCCUGGCGCGCUCCCCCUCGCACCCCGUGCACCUGUCGCGCUCCGCCGACUCCGUGUUCUGAGGCCAGGCGUGUGCCGCCGCGCGCCCGGCGCCGGCGCUGCCGAUCGCGUGGCUAGCGACCUCACUUCACAUCACCGCCUAUUACUUGAAGUGCCUGAUGUCGCCCGUAUCCAGAGUUGCAAAGUUAAGUGUGGCCAAAGUUAAAAAUUAUGUCAGUGCGAGGAAAUUUUAAAUGUAUGAUUUUCGAUAAGAAACAUUCACUUUAUAAAUUAUUGUAAGUAAGGCGUCAUACAAAUUAUUAAAAUAAGAAGAGACUUGAGCUACGAAAUAAUAUUCCGCGUGUGAAUUAUUUAAUCGAUAUUUUAAACGAGCGAAUUCUUUACCACCCGUAAAUAUAUCGAUAAUACUUAAUCGUGCGUUAUUUUUUACAAACGCAAAACGACGUUGAUUUUUUUCAAAUAUUCCACAAAGGAAUAUGUGAAAAGAACAGAUGCAUUCGAAUAAUGCAAACGAAUAAUCCCGAAGUGUACAGAUGGAACUUAUUUAUUGUUUAACAUUGUCCAGUGUAACAGACGGGUCAUCGCUACUUAUUGUAUAUAUAAUUAUAUAAUACCGCUGUACAUUGUGUUAAUAUUUAAAAUUACGCUAUAGCAAGUAAUGUCUCGAUCUCUGUACUAGUAGAUUAUAUUAUAUUUUCGUAUUUAAUUAAUGAGUAAAUUGAAAGUUGACUGCUUUGUUAAAAUGAAUUAAAAAAAAUACUUGUAAAUAUUUGUACAGUGUUACGAAUUUUUGCUGUGAUUGAUUGACGCUUUGAGUGCACUGGGGUUUGGUUUAAGUCCUGAAAUAUUUUCAUUAACACUAGUGGUACAUAGAAGAAAUUCCGUUAAAAAUUACAAGAACAAAAUUAUGUAACAUUUGGAAGUUUGUAAAUAGUUUUAAAAGUCGAUAAAAAUGUACAUACUAUCGAAUAAGUUUACUAAUUUAUUGUUUUGCAUAUCUUUCACUUUGUUAAUAGCGUAUAGAUUUGAACUACUUAAUUAGCGCCAAAAGCCAGCGCACUCAACAUCUAAAAAGUUCAGUCUUAAUAUUUACUUUAAGGGUUAACGAUUAUCAUAUAACGAUUACAGGUUUCGAUUAUAGUAAUUCAGUCGUGUGUUCCAGAGGGACGUUACUCGUUAUCUCUCCAUGACCUAUUGCAGUUUGAAUUUAUUUAUUAUAGAACUAUAGACCAAGUAAAUAGCAUUUGUACAUGAUUAGAAGAGUGUGAUUUUUAUCGAUGUUUAUCGAUAGUAACAGGUAUGUGUAAUCGAUAUUUGUCGAUAGUCGUUGGAUUAUAGGCUGACAUGCGUGGUGUAAAUUUAUAUUUAGAAGUUCAGAGGUGAAUAUUAUAUAGAUUUUUGAUUCUGAUCAGUUAUGUUUGUGUACGGUAAGUAAUGUCAAAGUUUGUUGAUUGCUUGUAUUAUUUUUUAUAUUUAUCAUAAAGAUAAUAGACAACGUAAUUCCGACCACAGAGUAUUGACGAUGAUUUGUAUAUUUCUAUUAAUAUUAUGUUUUGCAUACUUUGACCGCUGGUUUAUCUUAUUACAUACCAUAAGCAUGUUGUUCGGGAAAAAAUCUGUUUUUACAAACGCUAUUGAUGAAAUUCGAUAAAAAUCACAUCUAUGUAAAUCGCUCGAUUGUUUUUUUGUGUAAAUAUUGAAAAAAGAAUAACAUUCCUUUUGGUAGGUUGUUGGAGUUGAACUUGAUAGUUACUGUUCAUACUGCGUGUACAUUUAUUUGUGUAAUCUUUUGAAAAGUUACCAAUUUAUCAUAGUGUGUCUAAGAGGCUUAUCUUUAGGUACUAGGAGGGUUUCGCAGUGGCAACGUAGGCUGCGCGCUUGGGUCUAGCAAAUGGAGAUCUACUUAGACUAAUAGAUUCACUCGAGUAAUGUAAUAAGUCAGACUGCUCCCUUGGUCUAAUUGCAGUGCACUUGGCAUGUGAAGUCGAUAUAUUAGGUACGUUUCUCAGAAGGCCUGACGUAAAUUUGUGAGUUUUUCGGGUCGGUAAAGACCUGGUUUGUCGAGGGUUGGGAUUAUAUCUGAUAUGAUGUUGGGAUUGUCUUGUGACAUGAAAAAGCGAUCGCUGAAUUGAAUGUAUUCUGCACCUCUGCCUUCCUUUACAGGUUACAGGCAUGAUGGUAUGUGUAAUAAGUUCGAUGAGAUAUUAUGCUGUACUUAUAAGUCGAUGCGUCAUAUUGUCGCGUAGAUUGCGACAUAAACAUUUUUUUUGUUAUAUUAGUCCAAAUUAUUUACUUUAUAAAGAAGUAAUUAAUAAUGUUAUUCCUUAUUGUUACAUGAAUAAAUGUUCCUGGUAAAGAAUAUUUACCAACAUCUUCUCCACUUUCUAGAUUCGUUCGCAUGGGUCUGGUGUUGAAAGGUGUGAUUAGUAGAUAAAUAUAUCAUGAUUGUCAUCAUAAAAUAGGAAAAUAAAUUAAUUUAAAAAAUUGAAAAAAAAAUCACUAAGGUUCGAGUUUUAUUAUCGUUUUUAAAAAUAUAAAUAUGAACAAAAGUUAAUUAUUCUGGUCACUCAACUCCUAUUAAAUUGAUAGUUAAUUGUUUUGUAAAUUUAAUGCUGAAGUGACGUGGCGCGAGUGCGCGUUUUUAUCGAUGUCACAUCGAUAUAUCGACACAAUCACGUUCCUAUAUGAUAAGUGUUGCCAUGUUGUACCCACAAAUCUACUAUGUAAAUUAAAUGUAAGGGUAGUAUUGUCGUAAACUUUUGUUCACAAUGAAUUUAAUUUACAUUUUUGAUCGUAAAAUACAAGAGACUGAUAAAUGUGCAGACCUAAUUUUGAGAAGAGCUGUAGGAAAGCUUUGUAAGUAAUAGCAUAGAAUGACAUGGUGGACCUUGUUGCCGCUUAUAAUGUUGUCGAUAUAUCGUAUUAAGUAUCGAUGUCGAUAAAAUCCGCACGAGUGGCGAGGGCCACAGUGAUGUGUAUAUAGCGGAAGUGGCGCGGCUUGAACGUUUGUAAUAUACAUAUUUAUUCAAUAGGUGCCGAGGUUGGAACACAGUUGUAGUUUUACAUUAUGUAUUGAGAUUUCGAAAUGAUUAGGUUAGUUGCAUUUGCCAAAAUAAAUUCUCCGUCACUGUUAA